Molecule: long non-coding RNA, 1249 nt
Filed under: Anser cygnoides (Swan goose)
Lineage: Eukaryota; Metazoa; Chordata; Aves; Anseriformes; Anatidae
Description: lncRNA (ENSACDG00005007748.1)
Source: RNAcentral
GUACCAGUGCAGCGGCCUCCUGGAGCAGGACCUGGCCGAGCUCUGCGCCCGCGCCGGCAUCGCCGCCGUCCCCGCGGUCACCCCGCGGCCGUCCCCCGCUGGCCCCGCAGCCAGUGAGCGGGGUGCGGGAGAGGGGGGGCGGGGGGAGUUGUGCUGGGGUUUGGGGUCCCGAGGCACCCAUCCCUCUGCAGCGGAGGGCGAGGAACCGGCGGGGCCGGAGACCCGCACCCGGCGCCGGCACGGCCACGUCCAGCGCUGCGUCCAGGUGGAGACGGAGCACGACGACCCCCGGAGCGUCCGCGAGGUCUUCCUGCGAGGCUGGACCGUCGAGGAGGAGAUGCUGGGCGUCCUCGGCAAGUGCCUGCCCGCCCUCGCCCACCUGCGGGCCGUGCAGUGAGUGUGGGGCUGGGGAGGGGGCACGCGGGUGACCCCCCCCCAGGCGCUGCCACGUCCCCUCCCCAGCGACGUGCCGCUUGAUGCCACUUGUGUCCCCCCCCCGCAGCCUCUGGAGGGCCGGGCUGACCGACCGCCUGCUCCCCGCGCUGACCACGCUGCUGGCACGCUGCCCCGGCCUCGGGUAGGCAGUGGGGGGGGGGUGUGGGGGGGGAAACACCUUGAUUGGUGUCUCGUUAUCUUUAAUUAAGAGAAUUUUGGAAACUCCUGCCUCCGCAGGACGCUCAGCCUGGAGGGGAACCCCUUGCCGGAGCACUCCUUCCACCUGCUGAUGGGGCCCGGCAGCACGUGAGUGCCGCGCUCGACCCCGCGCAGAGCGGGGGGGGGGGGAACGCUACGGGGCGAAAUCCCGCCUGGGACCACCGGGACCCCCGCUGUCCCCCCCCCGUCCCCGCAGGCUGUCCCACCUCUCGCUGCGCAACAACGGCAUCGGCGACGAGGCCGCCCGGCUCAUCGGGCAGAGCCUCUCCACCCUCAGCUCCUCCAACCGCGGCCUGGUCUCGCUGGUCCUCAGCUUCAACCGCAUCUCGGACGUGGGAGCGGGGCACAUCGCCCAGGGCUUGCGCUGGAACCGCUCGCUGCUGUCGCUGUCCCUGGCGCACAACGACAUCGGGGACGUGGGGGCCCUGCGGCUGGCCGAGGUGGGCUUCACCCCCCCCAGCAAGGGAGCAGGAGCGGGAUGGGGCCGGAGGGAGAUGGGGCCGGAGCUGAGCGGGAUGGGGCUGGAGCGGGUUGGGGCCGGAGCGGGAUGGGGUCGGAGCGGGAUGGGGUCGGAGCGGGAUGGGGUCGGAGCGGG